This 391-nucleotide ribosomal RNA is filed under the name uncultured bacterium. RNAcentral's name for it is "bacterial SSU rRNA". It matches the Rfam family "Bacterial small subunit ribosomal RNA", at positions 30 to 420 of the family's 1533-position model. The record is from RNAcentral.
AUUGAACGCUGGCGGCAUGCCUUACACAUGCAAGUCGAACGGCAGCACGGGAGCAAUCCUGGUGGCGAGUGGCGAACGGGUGAGUAAUAUAUCGGAACGUGCCCGGUCGUGGGGGAUAACGUAGCGAAAGCUACGCUAAUACCGCAUACGAUCUACGGAUGAAAGCGGGGGAUCGCAAGACCUCGCGCGAUUGGAGCGGCCGAUAUCAGAUUAGGUAGUUGGUGAGGUAAAGGCUCACCAAGCCGACGAUCUGUAGCUGGUCUGAGAGGACGACCAGCCACACUGGGACUGAGACACGGCCCAGACUCCUACGGGAGGCAGCAGUGGGGAAUUUUUGGACAAUGGGCGCAAGCCUGAUCCAGCAAUGCCGCGUGCAGGAUGAAGGCCUUGG